CGCGCGCCCUCGCCGGGCGCCGGGACCGGAAAAUCACCGCGAAGGGAGGGACGAGGAAAGGCGGCGGGCGGCUUCAGGACAAGCUGUGAGAUAUCAGUGGGCAAGGAUGUGACGCCUGAAGAUGUGGCAUCUACCUUGAAACAGCCAAGGACCUGAGGACGAAGCCAGCAUCUGAGGAAAACAGACAGAAAGGAUCUGGAUACAUGAUGAGCCUGAAAAGUAUCUUGCAUACACAACUGGUGGCACAGAAUCCUGACAAACCUCUCAUCAGAAGUCAACCACAGGCUCUCUAUGCUCUUACCAAAACGCUGGCUUUGAGAAAUAAUUAUGAAUGAAAAUUACUGAUGUGAUUUUCAGUCUAGGGAAGAAUAUCAAGUUAAACUUUAUGAAGUCCAAGACAAUGGGAAAAGAAGAGGUAUUCCUGUCCAGGCCCUCUUCCAGUUAGAAGGUGAUGGUUUCCAGAAGUCUGCACCUGUAUUUCAAUUACCUAUAUGGAGUUUAUAGGACUAAACUAUAUUCACUG
RNAcentral lists this non-coding RNA (523 nucleotides) under Pongo abelii (Sumatran orangutan). The record is from RNAcentral. Lineage: Eukaryota; Metazoa; Chordata; Mammalia; Primates; Hominidae.